GGAUAUCGAUGAAACCAUCAAAUUCGCAAUCUUCUGUACUCUCCGAAAUCCCGUCUAUCUUUCCAACAAAUACUCCAUCCGUGAAACCCUCAUCUCAACCUAGUGACA
This 108-nucleotide non-coding RNA is filed under the name Asterionellopsis glacialis. The record is from RNAcentral. Lineage: Eukaryota; Bacillariophyta; Plagiogrammaphyceae; Rhaphoneidales; Asterionellopsidaceae.